Genlisea aurea is the source of this 83-nucleotide non-coding RNA. Lineage: Eukaryota; Viridiplantae; Streptophyta; Magnoliopsida; Lamiales; Lentibulariaceae. The record is from Rfam.
GCCAGGGUGGCCGAGUGGUUAAGGCGUUGGACUUAGGAUCCAAUUCACAAUAGUGAGCAUGGGUUCGAUUCCCAUCCCUGACA